ACAACCGCAGAACAAUUUUUUGUCUGUUGUCAAAGGUUGCCUUGAGUUUUCAGCUGACUUUUUGGAAAAUAUUCAAAACAAACCAAGUUGACAGCCAAAUCAAUGCAUAAUUUCAGUUCAACUUGCUGAUUUUUACCCUGCGGAAGUUAGGCGGCAAUAAUCUCCUGUAACUCACAGCGAUGGAGAAACGUGAUUUUAUCUCGCAAUAAGCAAUAAUAAGUAUCAACAAACGAACCUACCCUGUCACGGCGUUCUAGCAGGAUUCUAGCAGAGUUCUUACAGAGCUGGAUAUUCUUACAGAAUUCUAGCAGAAAUGUUCGACCGUUCUAGCAGGAUUCUGACAGAACCAGCUUUGCUAGAGUAUUUCGUGACUGGGUAACAUGACACUUAAUAUGUGCAGCCGUCGCUCUUGCAACGGACACACCAUUACACUGAACCCGUGCGACGCUCCUGAAACGAACGCACCAUAGUUGAGCGAGCUGUCAAAGUUUUUCACUCGCGCGUGCUCGAUCCUGUCUGUGUCUGUAUUCGGUCGCAGUGUUAACCGAAAUUUUCAACGGUAAAUCGCGUGUGCUCGUGAAAAAGUAACAUCCAGCGGUUGGCCUCAGGAUUCUGAAUGCGUUCCUGGUGUUGGACACAUCCGCCGGGUGUUCGAACUGUUCCGACGAUGGCGAAGAGUUUUGCUUUAAAACAACGAAUGUUUCAGGUGGGUUAUAUUUGCGGAGGGCGGAAUCCCGUCCCACGGCAUACAUUUUCUUUUGCCUGCUUGAGCUGCUUGGAUAUUGGCUGAUGCAUGAAGUGAUUUGUUCAUCUUUUUUCGGCACACUCAACAAACGUCAAACCAAACAAAAUUGCUGCCGGAUCUUUUCCGGGAGAGAUCCGGAAAAAGAUCCGGCAGCAAUUUUUACUGAUUUGACAUUUGCUGAGGAUGCCGAAAAGUUUUUUUUGUGUUACUCUCGCAAAAGACAAUUAGGUUUUACGCCGACUCGAUUUGGAGGAUAGAAAAGAGUGCACAGUUCGAUGCGGUCGUCGAUUUUGUUCGGUGAAAUUCGUCGACAAUCGACGAAGACCAUGUAAACAGUGCACACGAGCUGUCAAAUGACGUCACGGCGUAAAACCUAAUUAGGUUUCACAGCUUGACAUCAUGAGCGCACACGCACACACAUUUUUACUGACACACGUGUAAAAAAUGUAAACAGUAAAGGCAAGCUGUCAAAUUUCUAACCUUAAACUCGAGUCGGCGUAAAACCUGAUUGGCUGAUGCAAGAAGUGAUUUGUCUUCAUUUUUCGACUCUCCCAACCAACGUCAAACCACUCAAAAUUGCUGUCGGAUCUUUUCCGGAAGAGAUCCGGCAGCAAGUUUGUACUGAUUUACGUUUGCUGCGGGUGCCGAAAAGUUUGGUUAUGUUGCUGCAUGUAAAAACAAUACGAUCAUUUAGUGUUUUUAUUCAACAGGGAACAUUUCGCCUACGGGGUGAACUUCGCGCUCGAUUUGGACGAGGAAAGCCGCAACAGAAUCACUCGACAAGAUCGCCAAGAAGUUGGCUUUUCUACAAGGACGAUCGUGGAUGGCGUGUGGCCCAAUUUGUGCUGCCGGGGAGUACCAGUCCGGUCGCAAUCAUCAGACGAUAGAGGAACAUCAUUGCACAUGGGUCAAAUGAUCACCAAGGGAACAUUCCCAACACAACCGGCACUAACGAAACCAGCAAAUCAAUCCGGAGUCUCCAGUCGACAAAAAGGAGCCGGUGGUCAGUUUAAACGCACCAUGACAUCACCCAUCCGAGGAGAAACAAGAAUCGGUCGCGAUCGAGAUCGAAAGCGAAAGAAAGCGGCUUCGUUUUGGUGUUUGCAAAACUCUAGAGAAGACAUUAUCAAUUAACAAUUGAAAAAAAAAACAAAGUUAUUCAAUGUUGAAUGUAAAUAAAUUACAAUGAAUAAUAUAAAAGUACUGUAAAACAUACUGUAUUUACUAUUUAUUUUAAUGUCCGAAUAUUGUUGUCACAGUACAAUUUAGUAGGGAACAAACCAUGAAAACAAUAAUUUUACUGUGUAAUUCAUUGUAAUGCUUAUUAGUUUUAUUGUCCGCAUAUAGUUUUUACCGCAUCAUUCAGUAGAUAAGAAACCAUGAAGAACUGUAAAUUGACUGUGCAUUGCAUUGUAAUGCUUGCUGUAUUUAUUAUUAAUGCAUGAUGUUUUCUAUAGUCAGGACGAGUUUUUGGAUGAAAAAUGCAACAUUAGAUUAACAGUAAAAUGCGUCGUAUUUGGAAAAAAAUUGCAUGGAAAAAUUUCGAAAUUUUUAUGGUACCGGUGCAUAACAACCCCCCUUUUUUAUGGUAAAGUCCCAAAAUACGACGCAAAUUAUCUUAAAAAACGAUGCUGUCUACUGUUAAAACACUGUCAAAAUGACAAUAUAUUUUAUCGUUUUGUAACGUUAAAAUUUACUGUAAGUUCAUCGGAAAUCUUUA
Molecule: long non-coding RNA, 2465 nt
Organism: Culex pipiens pallens (northern house mosquito)
Lineage: Eukaryota; Metazoa; Arthropoda; Insecta; Diptera; Culicidae
Exons: 3
Source: RefSeq, a predicted model, not a curated record